UCCCCAGUGGCGCAAUUGGUUAGCGCACGGUACUUAUGUGGCAGUCGCCGUGAGCAAUGCUGAGGUUGUGAGUUCGAGUCUCACCUGGGGAA
Molecule: transfer RNA, 92 nt
Filed under: Varroa destructor (honeybee mite)
Lineage: Eukaryota; Metazoa; Arthropoda; Arachnida; Mesostigmata; Varroidae
Also listed under: 1 other name
Rfam family: tRNA
About the family: Transfer RNA (tRNA) molecules are approximately 80 nucleotides in length. Their secondary structure includes four short double-helical elements and three loops (D, anti-codon, and T loops). Further hydrogen bonds mediate the characteristic L-shaped molecular structure. tRNAs have two regions of fundamental functional importance: the anti-codon, which is responsible for specific mRNA codon recognition, and the 3' end, to which the tRNAs corresponding amino acid is attached (by aminoacyl-tRNA synthetases). tRNAs cope with the degeneracy of the genetic code in two manners: having more than one tRNA (with a specific anti-codon) for a particular amino acid; and 'wobble' base-pairing, i.e. permitting non-standard base-pairing at the 3rd anti-codon position.
Source: Rfam by way of RNAcentral